RNAcentral lists this long non-coding RNA (4579 nucleotides) under Homo sapiens (human). Lineage: Eukaryota; Metazoa; Chordata; Mammalia; Primates; Hominidae. The record is from RNAcentral.
GCUUCCAGAUAUUUUACACGUGGAAUAUACAUCUUAUUCGUCCCGCCUCCGCUUAGCCUUCCAUCUGCCCGCAGCACCUUGUCGCAACUCCACUUGCUAAAGAUCUCGUGUUCUUCUUGACCCAGUUCCAAUACCAUCAUUUCUGUGCAUCUGCAACUGCCAGGGGCCUGUGUUCCUACGCCCUGCGGAAGGGUGUCCAGCGAUCACACUCCCUCCACACACUCUUGUCUUUUCCAAGGCUUCAAUGCCAUCUUUCGCAGCGUCUGCAGUCUACAAGCCUGGAACUCCGGACUUGACUCUGUAACUAACGGUGCGUCUCCACUUGAUAUCCAAAGGCCUCUUCAACUGUACAAAACAGAAGCCCGACUUUCCCUAGGUUCUCAUGUCCAAGUAAAUGGCACUGCCUUUUGCCCAGUUGCUCAGGCAGCACCUGAAAAGCAUCAUUUAUUUACUCUUCAAUGCCCCCCCAUGCUGCAUAUCCAAACCAAGCAGCAGGACUGUCUCUUUCUUCAAAACACACCUGGAUGGGGCCUCUCCUCGCCGUGCUAAGCCCCUGGGCAUCACUCUCACCUGGAGUGUGCAGACAGCCUCUGGUGGGCUCCCUGCUGCAGCCGUUCCCGUCCUCUAUUGCACAGAGCAGCCAGUGAGCUUGGAACACAAAUCAGGGCCUAACACUGCUCUGCCCUAAGCCCCAAGCUCUCUCUUGGCCUCCCAGCUUCCCCAGAACAAAUCCCAAAGCCUCGGCGUGGGCGAUGGGCCCACACCACGCAGCCCCACCUGCUCCCCAGACGUGACAAGGUUGGCAUCGCCUGUGCAUGUGGGUUUCCCUCUGCCUAGAACCCUCGUUCCCUGCCAUUAAAAAUGGCUUUAUUCACAUUAUUUGAUUCUAGCUAGCUCCAAAGCCAUUUACUCAGUGAGGGUCUCCCACCCGCUCACGCACUCACCUCACCUUAUUUUUUUCUUCCACACCACUGAUUACCAUCUGCAAUUGAAUGAAAUUAUUUACUAAAUCUUAUUUUAUAUUGUCAUACUUCCUUAGCGGAUAAAAACUCAAAACUACGAAAGCAAUGACUUUGCCUUGAGUGUUGUUCUACACCCAGGUGAUCAGAACACAGAAGCCUUUGAUAAAUUUGUGCUGAAACAAGUCACGUCAUUAGUGCCUGAAAUCAGGAAACUGCCUGCAGGAGCCUCUGUUCCUGGCAUACACUUGGUGCUCAACACAUGCUCGUUAAAUACAUGAACAGAUACCUAAAUAACAUCAUUCACUUUUUUCCCUUCUCAUUGAAUGAGAUGGUUUAGUGGUGUCCCCACCCAAAUCUCAUCUUGAACUCUAGUUCCCAUAAUCCCCACGCAUGGUGGGAAGGACCCAGUGGAAGGUAAUUGAAUCAUGGGGGCAGAUACCCUCAUGCUGUUCUCAUGAUACUGAGUGAGUUCUCACGAGAUCUGAUGGUUUUAUAAGGCGCUUUCCCCUCAUUCGCUCUGCAUUUCUUGCUGCCACCACGUGAAGAAGGAUAUGUUUGCUUCCCCUUCCGUCAUGAUCGUAAGUUUCCUGAGGCCUUCCCAGCCCUGCAGAACUGUGAGUCAGUUAAGCCUCUUUCCUUUAUAAACUACCCUAUCUUGGGAAUUUCUUCCUAGCAGUGUGAGAAUGGACUAAUACAUCAAGGUUUUCAAAAGAGCUCUACCCACAGAUCUUUUAAAUUCCAUUCUUUUCCUUUGGCUUCAUAAAUGAGCGAGCUUUCUUAAGGCUUAUUAUCAAGAGUGGCUUUCACAUUUUAGGAGCACAUUAGGUCUCUGAAGCCUUGUAAUUUUCUUUUAAGUCACAUGAAAAAGAUCUUUACUUCCAAGGAGACACCUGGCUAUGCCCGGGCCUUUGGAUUUGAGGGCUCAUCCUGCACUUUCAGAGUGGGUGAGAAAAUGGGGCUCACCCCCUCACUGCUUCAGCCUCCAAGUGUCCAAAGCUUAAAUGGACGGAUGGGGCCCUCCCUCUCAGGCCUCAUUAUAGAAGGCAAAUUAGCCCCCAUGAUGGAGGCGGGCAGAGGACAUCAUGAGCUUACCCAGACCUGCAGAGGCAAUGGGCUGGGGAUGUUCUCUCCCUAAGAACAGAGAUGCUUUUGAGGAUGAGCUGAUGCAGGCAGGGGUGGCACUCUACGCAGAUGGCAGAAUAGUGCCGGCCCCUGGGAUGGGUGAGAGGAGGGAGCAUCCAGGAGCUGGGCCUGCAGAGGGAGGGAUGGAGAGGCCUUGGGCCCUGCUGAGGGUUUGAACUUGAUCCUGAGGCCAUCGAGGGCUGCAGGAGGGCUUUAAACAGAAAAUAAUUAUAUGGUAAGAUGUAACCGUUAGAAAGUUAUAGAUGGCUGGGGUAACUACACGGAUGGCAACAGACAAGAAGCUGGAAACUGCUGGGAAGCUUUUGGGUGAUCUGGGUGAGGAGGGAAGGGUGCUGCGCUGGGGAUGGGGGAGGACUGCAGCCGCUGGGGUGGAGAUGCAGGACUUGGGACCAGCUGGGUGGCAGUGAGUCAGGAUGGCCCACCCCUGGCCUGGCCACUAGGAGCAUGGAGGUGCCAUCCAAGAGUGAGACAUGCGGAGAAGGGGCAAGUCUGGAGGGAGAGAUGAGUGCAGCUUUGUUUUUUAAGAUUUUUGGUAAAAUACACAUGAGAAAAUUUCCCAUCUGAAUCAUUUUCAGCUCUACAGUUGAGUAUACUUGCAUUGUUCUGCACUGGCUCUCUAGGGCUUUCUCGUCGCCAAAGUAAGCCCUGUCCUGCUUCAACACUAGCUCCCCAUUCCUCUCUGCCAGCCCUGACACCCACCCUGACACCCACCCCUCUACUUCCUGUCUCCAUGGGUUGACUGUUCCAGGGGCCCGUAGUGGGAUUACACAGUGCUAGUCCCGUGGCUGGUUCCCUCCACUCGGUGUAACAACUCCAAGCCUCUUCCGUGUUGUGCUGUGUGUCCGAAUUUCCUUCCUUUUUAAGGCUGAAUAAUCCGUUGUUCCACGUGGGUGGGGCACACUGUGUUUAUUCCUCAUUGGCUGAUGGACAUGUGGGUUGCCUCCACCCUUGGCUGCUGUGGAUGGUGCUGCUGUGACAUGGCUGGGCAUACUCCUCGAGUCCCUGCUUUCAGUCCUUUGGGGGAUAGACCCAGAAGUGGAACUGAGGGGUCACAUGGCACUUCUGUGUUGGGAGCAGGCCCCCCAAAAUCUGGCCAUAAACUGGCCCCAAAACUGGCCAUAAACAAAAUCUCUGCAGCACUGUGACAUGUUCAUAAUGGCCCUAAAGCCCAAGCUAGAAGCUUGUCUAUUUACGGGGAUGAGGGCAAGGAACACUUGGCCCGCCCAGGGUGGAAAACCACUUAAAGGCAUUCUUAAGCCACAAACAAUAGCAUGAGCGAUUUCUGCCUUAAGGACGUGCUCCUGCUGCAGUUAACUAGCCCAGCCUGUUCCUUUAAUUUGACCCAUCCCUUCGUUUCCCAUAAGGGAUACUAUUAGUUAAUUUAACAUCUAUAGAAACAAUGCUAAUGACUGGUUUGCUGUUAAUAAAUACAUGGGUAAAUCUCUGUUCAGGGCUCUCAGCUCUGAAGGCUGUGAGACCCCUGAUUUCCCAACUCACACCUCUAUAUUUCUGUGUGUGUGUCUUUAAUUCCUCUAGUACUGCUGGGUUAGGGUCUCCCUGACCUAGCUGGUCUCAGCAAGUGGCGUCCAUCGUGGGGACUCAAAUCCAGGUCGAAGGGUUGCCAGAACAAUGGUUGGAGUGGAAAACUAGCUGGAGGACACUCGAGUACUCUUAAAGCAAUCCCUGUGGCCAAAAUCAACAGCCGAUUUGGAUACCAUCAAGACACCUGAAACCUUAUCAUGAGCCAGAUGCAGAGGAAGAGAUUCCAGGAGGAUCCCGAGGACCCCCGGUUGCAGCCAUGUCAAGACUGACGCUGCGGAGGACCCCAACUGUCACGAGCAACACCCAUCGAACACAGCCACCCACCUGGGGACAGAACAGGAAGCUGUCACAGAUGGCGGAAGAAAACCUGAGGAAAGCGGGACAACCAGUCACAAUGAAUAAUUUAAUGAUAGCUCUGAUAGCGGUUAUCACCACCGCCUCUGCAGAUGUGGAUCCUGACUCCUGCAAGAAGUAGCUCACCGUGACAAAGCUGCCUUUGCUUUUAUCGAUUUGCAAAUCAGAGAAGGGGGACAUAUUGGGAGCAGGCCCCCCAAAAUCUGGCCAUAAACUGGCCCCAAAACUGGACUGGCCAUAAACUGGCCCCAAAACUGGACUGGCCAUAAACAAAAUCUCUGCAGCACUGUAACAUGUUCAUAAUGGCCCCUAAUGCCCAGGCUGGAAGGUUGUGGGUUUACAGGGAUGAGGGCGAGGAACACCUGGCCCACCCAGGGUGGAAAACCGCUUAAAGGCAUUCUUAAGCCAAACAAUAGCAUGAGUGAUCUGUGACUUAAGGACAUGCUCCUGCUGCAGUUAACUAGCCCAACCUAUUCCUUUAAUUCGGUCCAUCCCUUCGUUUCCCGUAAGGGAUACUUUUAGUUAAUUUAACAUCUAUAGAAACAAUGCUGAUGACUGGUUUGCUGUUAAUAAACACG